RNAcentral lists this ribosomal RNA (770 nucleotides) under Coniferiporia weirii. Its description in RNAcentral is "LSU rRNA". The stretch from base 389 to 711 matches the Rfam family "Bacterial large subunit ribosomal RNA", at positions 1702 to 2027 of the family's 2925-position model. The record is from RNAcentral. Lineage: Eukaryota; Fungi; Basidiomycota; Agaricomycetes; Hymenochaetales; Hymenochaetaceae.
UUAGACGAUAAGAGGAACCAAAAAAAUUAAUUUACGAUAUAAUAGAAAAAUCUUAACCUACUAUCUCUGUCUACUAUAAUUAGUAAUGAUUAUUGGAUAGGGUGCAUCCGUAGAUGCUAGGAUAAGUUGACAUUAUACCCUCCCCUCCACUCCUCUAAAUAAGGUAGUGGGUGGUCACAUCAUUCGGAAGAAAGGUGUAUCCUCCUACGGUUCGUAGGAGGAGAGGGUUGUGUUCUGAAUUCUAUUACUCUCGAUUAUUAUUCCCUUGAUCAUUUAUUAUUUAAUUAUUAGUGUUACGGAUAUUAAACUCAGUUAAUAUAACUUUUAGAACAUUAUAUUAGCUUAUUAAUAUCUUUUUAUAGAUAAAAUUGAAGAAAUUUAUUUUUAUUUGUAAAGCACAAGUCUUAAAUUAAUAAUUGAUUAUUACAGUAAUAAAGUCAGCCAUGAUAAAUUAUAAUAGUUUGGUGUCACAGAAUCGGAGGCCUCGACUGUUUACUAAAAACACAAGAAUGUGCAAUGAUAAAAGUCAUAGUAUACGUUCUGAAAUUUGCUCGAUGCCAUUAAUAUAAAAGAGGUAAUAGGUAACUGUUACUAAUUGAAAAUCUGGUUAAUAGCGGUCUUAACUAUGAGGAUCCUAAGGUAGCGAAAUAAAUUGGCCAUUAAAUGUGGUCCGGUAUCAAUAAUGUAACGAAGGUCUCACUGUCUCUACAACUUGCUCAGUGAAAUUGAAUUACCCGUGCAGAUGCGGGUUACCCCCAGUGGGACGGGAG